ACCCAGCUGAUGAGUUCCAAUUAGGACGAAACCCACGUCCUGAAU
This 45-nucleotide non-coding RNA is filed under the name Schistosoma margrebowiei. Lineage: Eukaryota; Metazoa; Platyhelminthes; Trematoda; Strigeidida; Schistosomatidae. The record is from RNAcentral.